RNAcentral lists this unclassified non-coding RNA (200 nucleotides) under fungal sp. RNAcentral describes it as "partial internal transcribed spacer 2". The record is from RNAcentral. Lineage: Eukaryota; Fungi.
UUAAGUUCAGCGGGUCCUCCUACCUGAUCCGAGGUCAACCUAGUGCUAAAGACGCAAAGGUCGCUUUACGGCCAGCACCCGCAGCACUCCCAAAGCGAGGUUGUAAGCUACUACGCUCGGUGUGUCUUGCGAGCCCGCCACUGCAUUCAGGCCUGCGGCAGCCGCAGGUCCCCAACACAAGCCCAGGGCUUGAUGGUUGA